GGAGACGUGUCAGAGUGGUCGAUUGUGCCUCCUUGCUAAGGAGGUAGGGUGAAAGCCCUCCAGGGUUCGAAUCCCUGCGUCUCCG
RNAcentral lists this transfer RNA (85 nucleotides) under Candidatus Kaiserbacteria bacterium CG10_big_fil_rev_8_21_14_0_10_47_16. RNAcentral describes it as "tRNA-Ser". It matches the Rfam family "tRNA". Rfam says of the family: Transfer RNA (tRNA) molecules are approximately 80 nucleotides in length. Their secondary structure includes four short double-helical elements and three loops (D, anti-codon, and T loops). Further hydrogen bonds mediate the characteristic L-shaped molecular structure. tRNAs have two regions of fundamental functional importance: the anti-codon, which is responsible for specific mRNA codon recognition, and the 3' end, to which the tRNAs corresponding amino acid is attached (by aminoacyl-tRNA synthetases). tRNAs cope with the degeneracy of the genetic code in two manners: having more than one tRNA (with a specific anti-codon) for a particular amino acid; and 'wobble' base-pairing, i.e. permitting non-standard base-pairing at the 3rd anti-codon position. Lineage: Bacteria; Candidatus Kaiseribacteriota. The record is from RNAcentral.